RNAcentral lists this ribosomal RNA (435 nucleotides) under uncultured bacterium. RNAcentral's name for it is "bacterial SSU rRNA". It matches the Rfam family "Bacterial small subunit ribosomal RNA", at positions 958 to 1392 of the family's 1533-position model. The record is from RNAcentral.
AACGCGAAGAACCUUACCUAAGCUUGACAUCCCAUUGACCUCUCCCUAAUCGGAGAUUUCCCUUCGGGGACAGUGGUGACAGGUGGUGCAUGGUUGUCGUCAGCUCGUGUCGUGAGAUGUUGGGUUAAGUCCCGCAACGAGCGCAACCCUUGCCUUUAGUUGCCAGCAUUAAGUUGGGCACUCUAGAGGGACUGCCAGGGAUAACCUGGAGGAAGGUGGGGAUGACGUCAAAUCAUCAUGCCCCUUAUGCUUAGGGCUACACACGUGCUACAAUGGGUGGUACGGAGGGCAGCCAAGCCGUGAGGUGGAGCAAAUCCCUUAAAGCCAUUCUCAGUUCGGAUUGUAGGCUGAAACUCGCCUACAUGAAGCUGGAGUUACUAGUAAUCGCAGAUCAGAAUGCUGCGGUGAAUGCGUUCCCGGGUCUUGUACACACCG